AUAUAUUAGCAUAAAGACUCGUCUUUAGCGCUAAUUGUUAAAUAUGCUAGUCCUUUCAUGAUUAUGUGAUAGGUGGUGCAUGGCCGUUCUUAGUUCGUGGAGUGAUCUGUCUGCUUAAUUGCGUUUCACUAAGGGCCCAUAAAUUCAAGGUAUGUUAGCAAAUGCUGCUCUAUUGACCCCUAAUAGGCUUAACUGUCUUUAGCGCGUGUCUCUACGAGUUCUUUAAAGCACUGCGCAUGCUGUUGGGUCCUGAAAGCAACGAACGUGACCGCAACGUCUUGUUGCCUCUCUAUAAUAUCUUCUUAUUUUUAAUAAGAGUAUUUACCUGAGGCUAUUUUAAAACUAGACGGACCGCUGUUUCUUUCUUAAACCAGAGGAAGGUUGCGGCAAUAACAGGUCUGUGAUGCCCUUAGAUGUUCCGGGCUGCACACGUGCUACAAUGAUCAGUACAGUGAGCAUCUCAAUUUUAUAACACCGUAUUAAGCGCUUGGGUCGUAAUUGUUAGGCCUUUUGGGUUUUUUCAAUUGCGUUUCUCCAAUGCGCACGGUAAAGCCUGCUUCGAGAGUAAGUGGGUAAUCCAUUGGAAGUAAUGAUUUCCUUAUUUUUAUAAACAGCACACCAAUAUACGGCAUUCAUUCCCGAGACGGCUUAGUUCCGACUUUGUGCGAAUGUAAUGUAUUCUUAUCCGUAUGUGCGAUUGUCAAUUCAUGGUGGGGACAGACCAUUGUUAAUUGUUGGUCUCGGUCUUAACUAGGA
This 756-nucleotide ribosomal RNA is filed under the name Globorotalia inflata. RNAcentral describes it as "SSU rRNA". The stretch from base 1 to 438 matches the Rfam family "Eukaryotic small subunit ribosomal RNA", at positions 1251 to 1501 of the family's 1831-position model. The record is from RNAcentral. Lineage: Eukaryota; Foraminifera; Rotaliida; Globorotaliidae.